RNAcentral lists this microRNA precursor (103 nucleotides) under Marmota monax (woodchuck). The record is from RNAcentral. Lineage: Eukaryota; Metazoa; Chordata; Mammalia; Rodentia; Sciuridae.
AGUGGGAUAGCUGGGUCAAAUGGUGAUUGCAUUUCAAGUUUUCCAAGGAAUCUCCAUAUUGCUUUCCAUAUUGGCUGCACCAAUUUGCAGUACCACCAGCAGU